GAUUUCAAAAAGAUUCAGUCAGUUUAGACUUUUCCGUUUUUUAAAACAUUUAAAUUUCCUUAUUAAAUACACGAAAUUAUAAAAAUUAGACUGAAAAUUAAGAAAAAUAGAAAACAAUCACAAAAUAUCAAGUCCAAUAAAAAACAAUUUAAUCAAUAAUUGUCGCAGUGUGAAAUCCAGAAGAAGGUGCUCAACGUUUUCUUUGCAAACAACAAUGUCUACCAUGUCCUCAUCACUACGAUAAAUAACAAAUUUCAAAACAUCCCCCUCAACCAAUCUUGCCUUACGAAUAAACAAGUUUCAACCAUCAGAGAACCCCUGCCGGUUCUUCGAACCGCAGGAGCCUACAGUUAAAUUGUGUUCAUCUGCAAACAUUCUAUCCGGUCCUAUAUAUAUUAACAAAGUAUCUGUUGUGUUCUUGGGAAAGUAUUGACUUAUCGAUUGCGGAAGCCACUACAUAAAAGAAAAAUAACAAGACAUCAGUUCAAGAUGUUUUUAAUAAAACAAACAAAUAAAGGAAAUACAAUGAAAUUUUUUACCAUUCCAUUUAGCGUCACGUAUGAUCUACUUAGUCUCAUUUUGAAGUGUGGUAGGGGAGGAUAAGAGACUGGUG
RNAcentral lists this long non-coding RNA (613 nucleotides) under Solanum tuberosum (potato). RNAcentral's name for it is "long non-coding RNA (STUB_LNC008949)". Lineage: Eukaryota; Viridiplantae; Streptophyta; Magnoliopsida; Solanales; Solanaceae. The record is from RNAcentral.